Molecule: ribosomal RNA, 121 nt
Filed under: Diaphorina citri (Asian citrus psyllid)
Lineage: Eukaryota; Metazoa; Arthropoda; Insecta; Hemiptera; Psyllidae
Source: RNAcentral
AGCGACACAAUAGCACGAUGAAUACACCAGUUCCCAAUUGAUCACUGAAGUUAAGCAACGUUGCCCGUGGUAGAUAUCCAGAUGGGAGACCAUCUGGGCAAUCGCAUGGUGAUGGUUGUUC